Lycium barbarum (goji berry) is the source of this 1973-nucleotide long non-coding RNA. RefSeq lists it as uncharacterized. Lineage: Eukaryota; Viridiplantae; Streptophyta; Magnoliopsida; Solanales; Solanaceae. The transcript has 2 exons. The record is from RefSeq and is a predicted model, not a curated record.
AAACAUAAGAGAACAGGAACCAAACGAACCCUGAAAGAUCAACUCUCAAACGCCUCUUCUUGGAAAACUUUCAUUGAGUUGCUAAGUCUUCCAGACAAUGUUCGCCCAUUUUGGGCAAUAACAAAAAUGUUUCUUGUCUUCUUCCUUCAGUGGAUUGGAUUCCCAAACGGUAACAUGCUCUUUUUUCAUUUUUUUUCUUUUCAAUUUUCACUUAGCUUCUCCAGUAAGAUUCGAAAUUCAAAUUCCUGCUUAAAGUUGAGACCCUAACUUUCUCCACUAUAAAUGCUUGCGUUUGGAACCCUAGAAAGGGGAAAAAAGGGAGCCGCCUCCGAUGCCCUUAAAUUUUCACAAUCGGAGAGGUUUUUUUGGACGCCCACAAAAUAGGUUUUUACACCUACAUUAAGUUUGAACACUCCCAGGUUCUGAACCUUUCAAUUACUUGGCUCUAAAGAAGAAAAUUUUCUCUUAUAAGUCUAGUUCUUGAAUUAUCGGAACAAGUUAAAAUACUUUUUUUGAGUUCGAGUUAGUUGUCGUUGGUUCGAAGGUGAUUCGCAACUCUAGUCGCCCCCGUCGCUGCUCGACAAAAAGGAAAAUUUCCCAACCCUGAAUAUUCCUGAGACACUACUACCCUUGAGAUGCUGCACACUUGGCUAUUCUGUUGCUAUCUUGAGUUGCUAUUUGAUGAAAAUGGCGAUUGAUUGGUUUGUUGCUGUUUUUUUUAGGGCAUCUCUGUUUGCCUAGUGAGUAAACUCGUAGUUGCAAACCACUGUAAGUUACUGUUACAUUGUUGAGCCUUUCUUUGUUGCAUUUGUGGCCAACCUGUGGCUUCAUAUGAAUGUAAGUUGUUGCUACUCUGCCUGAUAAAUAUAGUUGUUUUGUUUGAUGAGCUGCUAUUUAAGAUUAUGCCAUAUUUUGAACUGUGGUUGCACUUGGAGAGAGUAACUGCCUACAUUUAAGCUAAAAUUGAUGUUGUUCUUUGGUAAAAUAUCAUUAUUUACUGCUUGUUGUCUUGCGGUAUUUGUUGCCACCUAUUAUUACUUGUGGCUGUGGCAUUCUUUCUGAUUUGUUGCAUUUUAAAGGCUCCCAAAGUGUUGCAUUUUGGAAAAAUUAGUUGUUGCCUCAUUGCUUAAAAGAAAUCGAUACUACACUUGAUGGGAAGUAGUUGACCAUAUAUUUAUUAUAUCCUAUUGUUGUUGCUUUCCUGCCACUUAUUGUUGCCCUUCAAGGGCUGAUUGUUGCUGAAAUUUAUGGCCUGAAUGUUGAUCAAUAUUGAAUACUUUGAGUUGAGUUAUAUCACUAAGUUAACUGCUAUCAUUUGAGAGGUCACUGCUGCCAUACUUUAGGCAAAGCAAAUGGCUGAAUUUGAGGUUAAAUGAGCUGCAUUCUCGAGACAUUUCGAGGCAAAAUAGUUGCUGCCAUGUUUUCUUUUUAAUGAAGUUGACUUCUAGAGUCUGAUGCAUUGUUUCCAAGGCAAAUGGGUGUUGCAUCUGAGCCAAAGUGCUGAUGCACUUUCAGGCAGAUGCUUCACUUUUGAGUUAAAAGUGUUGCUGCAUUAUAAAACAAAUAGAUGCCACACUUCGGAGGAUGUUGUUGUCUUGAUGGGUACAAAUGUUACACUUUGACGAGCUGCACCUUUGAGGUAUAAAUAUCACAUGGAAUGAGUUCAGAUCACUGUUGCACUUUUAUGCCUAUCUUCUGAUGAGUUGUUUUGUUGCUACUUUGCAACUGUUAUAUAGUUGAUGAAGGACUAUUGUGAUCAACUCUCUGUUGGGGCAUUUUUGAAGCAGCAAUUACUGCUUUUAUGUAAAUGGGCAGAUACCACACAUGAGAGCUGAGGCUAUACAAUUGUAGAUUUGCUGACGUUAAAGCUGUUAGGCAGCUGUUCAUUUUUCAGAGAUCCUAUACUCUGAUUUUGCCCUCAAAUAUCUCUUGAUAAACUCAUUGAUUUGAACAUAAGCUAUACUUUUGGCUGA